GUGACAUCAUCACGCACGUCCCUGUUCCUGGAAGUAUUGAGUGGACACCCCCAAACUCAAGCGUGCAUAGACUGUUUGGUUUCAGCCAACGGCUGCAUGAACUGAGGAAAGGAAAGACUUCACGAAUACCCAGUAAUUUUAAAGUUGUGCUGUCUUAUAAUUGUGGAAAUAAAUCGUUUUACCUUAUUGGCGGCAGUGGAUUCUAUAUUUGGAGCUAUCUGAAGUAGAGCAGGC
This is a non-coding RNA of Pelobates cultripes (western spadefoot toad), 234 nucleotides long. The record is from the annotation of a GenBank genome assembly. Lineage: Eukaryota; Metazoa; Chordata; Amphibia; Anura; Pelobatidae.